This 492-nucleotide ribosomal RNA is filed under the name uncultured bacterium. Its description in RNAcentral is "partial 16S ribosomal RNA". It matches the Rfam family "Bacterial small subunit ribosomal RNA", at positions 29 to 507 of the family's 1533-position model. The record is from RNAcentral.
AGUGAACGCUGGCGGUAGGCCUAACACAUGCAAGUCGAACGGCAGCACAGUAAGAGCUUGCUCUUACGGGUGGCGAGUGGCGGACGGGUGAGGAAUACAUCGGAAUCUACUUUUUCGUGGGGGAUAACGUAGGGAAACUUACGCUAAUACCGCAUACGACCUACGGGUGAAAGCAGGGGAUCUUCGGACCUUGCGCGAUUGAAUGAGCCGAUGUCGGAUUAGCUAGUUGGCGGGGUAAAGGCCCACCAAGGCGACGAUCCGUAGCUGGUCUGAGAGGAUGAUCAGCCACACUGGAACUGAGACACGGUCCAGACUCCUACGGGAGGCAGCAGUGGGGAAUAUUGGACAAUGGGGGGAAGCCUGAUCCAGCCAUACCGCGUGGGUGAAGAAGGCCUUCGGGUUGUAAAGCCCUUUUGUUGGGAAAGAAAAGCAGCAGGUUAAUACCCCGCUGUUCUGACGGUACCCAAAGAAUAAGCACCGGCUAACUUCGUG